This 1287-nucleotide ribosomal RNA is filed under the name metagenome. RNAcentral's name for it is "bacterial SSU rRNA". It matches the Rfam family "Bacterial small subunit ribosomal RNA", at positions 242 to 1520 of the family's 1533-position model. The record is from RNAcentral.
UAGCUAGUUGGUGAGGUAAAGGCUUACCAAGGCGACGAUCUGUAGCGGGUCUGAGAGGAUGAUCCGCCACACUGGAACUGAGACACGGUCCAGACUCCUACGGGAGGCAGCAGUGGGGAAUUUUGGACAAUGGGGGCAACCCUGAUCCAGCCAUGCCGCGUGAGUGAAGAAGGCCUUCGGGUUGUAAAGCUCUUUCGGCCGGGAAGAAAUCGCAUGGGCCAAUACCCUGUGUGGAUGACGGUACCGGAAUAAGAAGCACCGGCUAACUACGUGCCAGCAGCCGCGGUAAUACGUAGGGUGCGAGCGUUAAUCGGAAUUACUGGGCGUAAAGCGUGCGCAGGCGGUUUUGUAAGACAGGCGUGAAAUCCCCGGGCUUAACCUGGGAACUGCGUUUGUGACUGCAAGGCUAGAGUACGGCAGAGGGGGGUGGAAUUCCACGUGUAGCAGUGAAAUGCGUAGAGAUGUGGAGGAACACCAAUGGCGAAGGCAGCCCCCUGGGUCGAUACUGACGCUCAUGCACGAAAGCGUGGGUAGCAAACAGGAUUAGAUACCCUGGUAGUCCACGCCCUAAACUAUGUCAACUAGGUGUUGGGUGGGUAAAACCAUUUAGUACCGUAGCUAACGCGUGAAGUUGACCGCCUGGGGAGUACGGCCGCAAGGUUAAAACUCAAAGGAAUUGACGGGGACCCGCACAAGCGGUGGAUGAUGUGGAUUAAUUCGAUGCAACGCGAAAAACCUUACCUACCCUUGACAUGCCAGGAACUUGCCAGAGAUGGCUUGGUGCCCGAAAGGGAGCCUGGACACAGGUGCUGCAUGGCUGUCGUCAGCUCGUGUCGUGAGAUGUUGGGUUAAGUCCCGCAACGAGCGCAACCCUUGUCGUUAAUUGCCAUCAUUUAGUUGGGCACUUUAACGAGACUGCCGGUGACAAACCGGAGGAAGGUGGGGAUGACGUCAAGUCCUCAUGGCCCUUAUGGGUAGGGCUUCACACGUCAUACAAUGGUCGGUACAAAGGGUUGCAAAGCCGCGAGGCGGAGCCAAUCCCAGAAAGCCGAUCGUAGUCCGGAUUGCAGGCUGCAACUCGCCUGCAUGAAGUCGGAAUCGCUAGUAAUCGUGGAUCAGCAUGUCACGGUGAAUACGUUCCCGGGUCUUGUACACACCGCCCGUCACACCAUGGGAGCGGGUUCCGCCAGAAGUAGGUGGCCUAACCGCAAGGGGGGCGCUUACCACGGCGGGGGUCGUGACUGGGGUGAAGUCGUAACAAGGUAGCCGUAGGGGAACCUGCGGCUG